GACGGAGGGUGCUAGCGUUGUUCGGAAUCACUGGGCGUAAAGGGCGCGUAGGCGGCGGGUCAAGUCGGUUGGUGAACGCCCGGGGCUCAACCCCGGAGGUGCGGCCGAUACUGAUCUGCUCGAGGCCGGAAGAGGAGGGUGGAAUACCCAGUGUAGAGGUGAAAUUCGUAGAUAUUGGGUGGAACACCGGUGGCGAAAGCGGCUCUCUGGUCCGGUCCUGACGCUGAGGCGCGAAAGCGUGGGGAGCAAACAGG
Molecule: ribosomal RNA, 254 nt
Filed under: uncultured bacterium
Lineage: Bacteria
Description: partial 16S ribosomal RNA
Rfam family: Bacterial small subunit ribosomal RNA
Source: RNAcentral